Panthera uncia (snow leopard) is the source of this 373-nucleotide long non-coding RNA. RefSeq lists it as uncharacterized. The transcript has 3 exons. NCBI's taxonomy places the organism in Eukaryota, Metazoa, Chordata, Mammalia, Carnivora, Felidae. The record is from RefSeq and is a predicted model, not a curated record.
CAGAGUUUGCUGAGUCUGUAGGUAAACUCUUAUUGUGCAGGGGCGAAGCAUUAAGAAAAAGAAAAGCAGGUUUACACGAUCCAAAGCCACCCAGCCUGCACCUUUCACUCACUUAGCAAGAACCGGGAGGAUUUUCACACACUGAAUAAACUGCUGCAGCCUGUCCGUUCUUAAUGGGAAAGAAGUCCUGGUGAGUGUCAGAAGCCCUCUGUGCCGUCCAGAUGCUCACGUAAAGACGGCCGCCAUGAUGGGGGCGUUUCACCCAUUGGUCAAGUGCCAACAGUAUACAGGGCAGGACAGAGAUUACAUGGAUUGCCCAGCGAACAGGCUGACCAUCGACGUGCCCUCCGUGUCCCCGUGGGCACCCCCCACU